This 492-nucleotide ribosomal RNA is filed under the name uncultured bacterium. Its description in RNAcentral is "bacterial SSU rRNA". It matches the Rfam family "Bacterial small subunit ribosomal RNA", at positions 28 to 511 of the family's 1533-position model. The record is from RNAcentral.
GAUGAACGCUAGCGGCAGGCCUAACACAUGCAAGUCGAGGGGCAGCGAGAAUGAAGCUUGCUUCAUUUGUCGGCGACCGGCGCACGGGUGCGUAACGCGUAUGUAACCUACCUUAAACAGGGGCAUAACACCGAGAAAUUGGUACUAAUUCCCCAUAACACUUUGGGAGGCAUCUCCUGGAGUUGAAAGUUCCGGCGGUUUAAGAUGGACAUGCGUUGUAUUAGAUAGUUGGUGAGGUAACGGCUCACCAAGUCGACGAUACAUAGGGGGACUGAGAGGUUAACCCCCCGCAUUGGUACUGAGACACGGACCAAACUCCUACGGGAGGCAGCAGUGAGGAAUAUUGGUCAAUGGACGCAAGUCUGAACCAGCCAUGCCGCGUGCAGGAUGACGGCUCUACGAGUUGUAAACUGCUUUGUAUGGGAGCAAUAAGUCUCACGUGUGGGAUGAUGAGAGUACCUUACGAAUAAGCAUCGGCUAACUCCGUGCCAG